Molecule: ribosomal RNA, 253 nt
Filed under: uncultured bacterium
Lineage: Bacteria
Description: partial 16S ribosomal RNA
Rfam family: Bacterial small subunit ribosomal RNA
Source: RNAcentral
UACAGAGGUCUCAAGCGUUGUUCGGAUUCAUUGGGCGUAAAGGGUGCGUAGGUGGCGUGGUAAGUCGGGUGUGAAAUUUCGGAGCUUAACUCCGAAACUGCAUUCGAUACUGCCAUGCUUGAGGACUGGAGAGGAGACUGGAAUUUACGGUGUAGCAGUGAAAUGCGUAGAUAUCGUAAGGAAGACCAGUGGCGACGGCGGGUCUCUGGACAGUUCCUGACACUGAGGCACGACAGCGUGGGGAGCAAACAGG